CCGCCGCCCCCAAGCCCCUCCCACUAGCGAGCCGCCGCCGCCCCGAUCCCCCUCCCACCAUCGCACCGUCGUCGCCCCCAAGCCCGUCUCACCAGCGCGCCGCCGCCGCCCCGAUCCCCCUUCCACCAGCGCGGCGCCGCCACCCCCAAGCCCCUCCCACCAGCGCACCACCGCCAACCCCAAGCCCCUCCCACCAGCGCGCCGCCGCCGUUGCCCCGAUCCCCCUCCCACCAGCACGCCGCCACCACCCCAAACUCCCUCCCACGGCCAUAUCACCCGCGCCGCCGGCCGCGCCUCCCUCCCGCACGCCACCUGCGGCUGCCACGCCAUGGCAGGCACUGAGCCAUUGCGGUAGUACAACUGCACGCUCCACCGCUGGUCAUGAGAAGAGUUGCGUGCAGGCCACCCGUGCUCUUCCCUGGAUCCGAUUCAGUUGUCUUCCUCUCAUCCUCUCUCUGUUUGCGUGUGUGUAUGAAGGAAGUGAGAGGAGAUAGAACAAGGGAGUGAGCGAUCCCUAUUCUCAUGUCUGUUAGAUGUGGGUAUGUGAUUUCCCAAUGUCAAAUCCCACGUUUGUCUUGAUUAGUUGUAGUUUUAUGGAUCUUGUUCUUGUGCAAUGUAAAUCUGUGUAUAGUUCACCCAUUUUCUCUCUGAAACUGUGAGCUGACAGAGCAGAGAUGAGUUGACAGUGUGGGUUCAGGUAGUGAGAUUUGCAGCUAGUUGUUUACUUGUUUAGGUGGUUGCAAGGGCUUAGUCCAUGAGUUCUAUUUGAUUACAGUCAGGCCACUAGUUAGUAUUGUGGUACUCCGUUGCAAGAAAAAUGGGUCGUCGGUUCAGUUAUAGGCACCCAACUCUGAAGAUUUUGAAUUUUUAGCAUGGUAUUUUAAGUUUGUUUUUUAUCAUAUAAUGUAAAAUUGUAAACAUGUUUCCAAUGGUCUUUGCUCCCAGUUCUAAACUUAUUCAGUAUGUUAGUACAGUCGUCGCGGUCGCCACCCCGACGCCUAACCCGCCAACCUGCGUCGCGUUGCCCGGGAUCCCCGAGCACUGUCGUGCCCCGUCACUGGUGCCUGACGGUGAGGGCUACCGUCUUUCCCGACAAAGCAGGCUACCAUCCGUCCAUUGACAAUGCGCAUGUCCAGCCGUUGCUGCAUCUCUCUCUGCCCGUGGAUGCUCGUGUGCUAUAGUUUCUUUCUACCCUUCUUGUACAUGCUGUUACUCACCUUUUUAUCUCUCUGAUGCGUUGUGUUGCACUACUACAGCUCGAUCCAGGAGGUGCUAGCUCAUGUUGGCUGGAACUAGGAUGCAAAAGAGUUGACGGAUCCAUGCCGCACAAGCACUGGUGCUCUGCUUUCUUCUUACUUUGUGUUCUAAUUUGCUUUCUUCUUAUUUUCAGUUUGCGAGAUACAAAAAGAAGUUAAAAAAAUGUUGUGCCUGGAGUUCAUAUUAUUUGCUACCCCAUGAUGUACGUCUAUAGUUUCUCCCUCCAAAUGUGUUGGUCCAUGUGGUUGUUUUUUUGUUUUCUUUUGUUUUGGAUCUACGAAAAAGGUUAUUGAAGCUCAAAUGUGAUAAGCACAUAAGUUCAGAUCUCCGCUGCUACAAAGUUCACGUAUACCUCUGUCUGUUUUAAUCGUGACAUACAAAUUUUGCACUACGAGAAAGUUCAGAGGCAAGAAAGUAGAAAAUAAAGAACACAAAAAUAUCAACAAAAAAUUCACUAGGAGAAAAGUUCAAGUCAGGAUAUGCAAGAAAAGUUCUUAUUUUAUUUCUGUUCAAUUUCAAAUUCUAGUGAAAUUUCAUUUCUUAUUUAAUUUAGUCUAGUUUCUUAUUUUAGUUUAGUUCAAUAUCUAAUUUUUAUUCAGAUCAAUUCUUAUUUUAGAAAAAAAAUUGAAUUGUUUCUUUAUCUACAUUCUUCUAUUCAACAUCAGGGAGAAGGUGCCUCAUGUUAAAAGUGUGCCCAGAUUUUCUAAGUUUGACAGUUUUUCAGUUGGUGUAGAGCUUGUCAAAUCGACAGUUUUUCAGUUCGUGUGGAGCUUGUCAUAGUUUUAUGCAGAUAAAGCUUUAUAAAAAUGCACUAAAAGUGUUCUGUUUUUUGGUAUCUCACAGAUGUGUGUAGCUAUUGUAUGUCUUCUGAAUCAUGAUGCUUGUUGUCCUUUUGUACAUAUCUUUAGUGUGCGUGUCGAAGGCCAGUAAGUUCUACUGCCAGUAUACGCCAAGUUCAGAGAUGUUGCCGCCGAUGGCAUGGAGUGAGCCGCAUCUCGCACCUCCACCAGCUGCAGUUCACGGCCUCCGCCAGCUGAAGGUCCUGAGGAUCAUUUUUCUCUGAUGUCCAUGUAUCGAGAUAUGGUAUCUGAUCAGUUCCACAAAUAUUUGGAGCUAAACAACUUAGCUAGUUCGGUCGUACUGACCCAUUGGCCUGUUUUACUACCUCUCUAAAUAAAGUUGCAAGAAUGACUAACACGUGAAAAUAGGAAUUAAUGUGUAAACCGGUACAUGCUCCUUGUUGAUAAAAUCUAGCCCAUUCAAAGUAGUCAUGAUUGUACUGGCAUGCUAUGUUUCAUCGUUAUCUAACAGUGCAUACAUCGUUAUCUAAGUGCAGUACAUCAUUAUCUUAUAGUGCAGUACGUCGUUAUCUUACAGUGUAGUACAGUAAUUCAUGAUCUAACAUUUUUACAGGAACUGCAUGCUAUAUACAGAAAUUCUAUAGAAACUACUGCAGAUACAUGACUUAUGAGGCUACCAGAGGCUACUACACCUCCAUAUUAUUGACAACCUGUAACUUGCUUCCAACACACUAGUAACACAUUCUAAGGUUCCUAAUCGGCUACUUCAGAGCGCUGUUGCUAUUCUGUGGGUAAAUGUCCUCAUUUUGUUGAUGGUGGCAUCUUACAAAGAAAAGGAAGUUCGAGAUGGGAACACUUUUUCAAAUGCUCACCUCCCAUUCGUGAUGCUGCCAACAAGGAAAACCUCUGGGAAGCUCUGCUGUACAAACACAUCAGCAUAGUAAGGAUGCGGCACCUUGGGGAAUAAUGCCUACAAUGCGCAAGCCCAGGAUGACGACGCUGAUCACUAGCACGAAGGAUAGGCUAAGGAUGAAGUACACGAUGCAGGCAAUGAGGACAAUGAAAACAUGCAAUCUGUAAACAUAGCAGCAGCUGCAAGUUCUUCUGUGUAUUAUGAUAUGAUUGCUACUUUUUAAAAGAAAGUGUAUAUGAUAGUUUGAUGUUUCUGCAAGAAAUGAAAAAAUGGUUUGAAUUAAAAACAUUGAUCAGUACGAAUAAAAAACAAUUAUCUGUU
Long non-coding RNA from Triticum aestivum (bread wheat), 3291 nucleotides. RefSeq lists it as uncharacterized. Lineage: Eukaryota; Viridiplantae; Streptophyta; Magnoliopsida; Poales; Poaceae. The record is from RefSeq and is a predicted model, not a curated record. The transcript is spliced from 3 exons.